This 220-nucleotide unclassified non-coding RNA is filed under the name Hevea brasiliensis (rubber tree). Lineage: Eukaryota; Viridiplantae; Streptophyta; Magnoliopsida; Malpighiales; Euphorbiaceae. The record is from RNAcentral.
UUUGUAAAAAACAGAAGCCUUUUCUCGGUGCAAGCCAGUCAUGCACAUUUCUAUGGUGUAAACAUGGUCACAAGAGAUUGCAGGAUCUGCAGAUGCACAGUAAAUAUGCCAUUUAUGUGGGCUGUCAUACCCACCCAUCACACAAGCCUUACUUUCAGCACCAAGCUUCCCAAAAUAACUAUCCAGGACACAAACUUCUUCAGAGAAACUGCGAUGAGGA